AUUGAACGCUGGCGGCAGGCCUAACACAUGCAAGUCGAGCGGAUGAAGGGAGCUUGCUCCUGGAUUCAGCGGCGGACGGGUGAGUAAUGCCUAGGAAUCUGCCUGGUAGUGGGGGAUAACGUCCGGAAACGGGCGCUAAUACCGCAUACGUCCUGAGGGAGAAAGUGGGGGAUCUUCGGACCUCACGCUAUCAGAUGAGCCUAGGUCGGAUUAGCUAGUUGGUGGGGUAAAGGCCUACCAAGGCGACGAUCCGUAACUGGUCUGAGAGGAUGAUCAGUCACACGGGAACUGAGACACGGUCCAGACUCCUACGGGAGGCAGCAGUGGGGAAUAUUGGACAAUGGGGGAAAGCCUGAUCCAGCCAUGCCGCGUGUGUGAAGAAGGUCUUCGGAUUGUAAAGCACUUUAAGUUGGGAGGAAGGGCAGUAAGUUAAUACCUUGCUGUUUUGACGUUACCAACAGAAUAAGCACCGGCUAACUUCGUG
This 484-nucleotide ribosomal RNA is filed under the name uncultured bacterium. Its description in RNAcentral is "partial 16S ribosomal RNA". It matches the Rfam family "Bacterial small subunit ribosomal RNA", at positions 30 to 507 of the family's 1533-position model. The record is from RNAcentral.